AUGGCGAAAGCCUCGGCUCUUAAGUUUAGUAUAACAUUGGCGCAAAGGGCGGGAUGUAAUCGCCUUAUUAUUAACACGGACAACCUGGAGGUGAUUGAUACCAUGAAGAACGGAGGACACUCGGCGGCGGCAAUUUUUGACGAUUGUUUUCAUUAUGCUUGUGACUUCGUUGCUACUAGAUUCGAACACUGUAACGGAGAAGCAAAUAAAGUAGCUCAUGAGCUUGCGAGUUUAGCUAGAUUUUCGUUGAUUUCUGAUUGGUUUGAGGAACCUUUAAAUAAAAUUAUAAUGAUCCUCACAAAUGAUGUACUUUUUAUCUCUGAAUAA
Molecule: ribosomal RNA, 327 nt
Filed under: Triticum aestivum (bread wheat)
Lineage: Eukaryota; Viridiplantae; Streptophyta; Magnoliopsida; Poales; Poaceae
Description: partial small subunit ribosomal RNA
Source: RNAcentral